Molecule: long non-coding RNA, 1478 nt
Filed under: Sus scrofa (pig)
Lineage: Eukaryota; Metazoa; Chordata; Mammalia; Artiodactyla; Suidae
Description: lncRNA (ENSSSCG00070020465.1)
Source: RNAcentral
ACAAAACAGAAGGUUAAAAGACAUGAAAAUGUUCAACCCGACUAGAAAUGAGUCAAGUUCAAAUUAAAACCGGAUGCGCAUUACGCUCCACUUUUUAUCCAAUUAGCAAAGUUCAGAAACUCUUAAGUGGUCCCGUUGGUGAGAAGUGAGUUGGUAGGACACAGCCAGACGGCCGUUGGAAACUACAUAGAGAAAGCCUGGGUAGAUCCACCAGAAGGAGCCUUUCAAAAUGAGGAAGAAGACAUUUAUUUACAUCGAAGGACACUCGUGAUUUGCUGACCCAGGCGGGUCACAGCAGCAGAUGUGCAGCAGUGCCAUCUGCGCAGGGUUCUCUUGUGUGUUUGUGCACAGACGGGCUCACGGACCGACAAGACCUUUAGGAAGACACCUACGAACAUCUUCAGAGCCGGCAGCCACGGGCAGAUCAACUAGUUUUUACUUUACCAGGAGGAUCACCAUCCCCAAAUGUGGAUCUUAGUAACGUAUGCCAGUUUUUUUUUGUUUUUUUUUUUUUUUUUUUUUUUUUUUAUCAUUUCUGAACUGAAGCCAACUGAACCCAUCUUGAUAAGUCUGAGCAAGCAUCAACAUUCCUGGGGACGAAUCAUAUUUCCUAAAAGACUCUGAAAAGCUGUUCUUUAGACUAGUUGGCCAAGACACCGUUUCUGAGAAGAGAUGGGAAAUUAAGUCAAGAGAAAAAGCCUGGAAAUCCUGCAUGGUUGAAACGUGGAAGGACGUGAGCUGGAGACAGUUGUGAUUUGUGGGGAGCUUAGAGUGACCCCAGCUGGCUGAAUCAGAAUGGAGCGGAACAAUGAUGGGGCCUGAGGGCUUGCCAGUGGCCACCCCUGUGACGCCACGCGCACCGCACGGAGGGUCCAGGAACCAUGGAUCCAAGAUGAUGGUUCUUCCUCGAGGUUUGUGUGAAGGGCUGCCCGCUGGGGACUAGGAAGGGCCGGUGGAACGGAGCCACCAGGGAACCCGAGGCUCACUCUGGCUGUGGGCACAGGGCCGUCGCCCCUUCUCCUGAUUUCCUAGCCAAGUAGAUUCUGGUCGAUUCUGGGAAGGGGGGAGGGGGCGGACCGAGGAUGUCGCUGCCUCGGGAACGCGACCCUGGGCCCAUCACGACACUCCGUGUUCGGCCUGCAUGGAUCUCAACCGGCAAGUCUCCCAACGCUACGGCCAGUCCCCAUGACAACGGCCUCGCUUAGACCCCAGUGCCAGGCCCGCGGGUGGGCGGGAGGAGAGGCCUGUUCCAGGGCCGGGGGCCGGCCUGCCCGACCAGAGCCGACAGCUGAAGAGAAAAGGGCAUCUUCAGAUACAACACAGGGAAAUGCGUAGCUCGAUGUUUAUAAUGUGACUCCGGGUUCCACAGGCCUUCCUUUCCACCUGUGCGCCUCUCAGCUUUAAGCACGAGCAUCCAAGGGGCAAACCGAGACUUCGCUUCCCUCAGAGCCGGAUAGAUAAGCAGCAGCUUUUCCCAG